CCACAUUCAAUCCCGAUCCCGCUUGUAAAAUAAAUUAGCAUAAGAUCUUGAGUUGUGUUAUGUUUUCAGAUUUUACAAGACAAGCAUAAAUGAAUUUCAUGCACUUAUAUAUAUAUAUGUAAAGUAGGUAAAGUUGAUCAGACUUGUAAAAUGUCAUCCAGAUCGACAACUAGGUCAAUGACUUGUGAUGAGAAAACUAGAAAA
Populus euphratica (Euphrates poplar) is the source of this 204-nucleotide long non-coding RNA. RefSeq lists it as uncharacterized. NCBI's taxonomy places the organism in Eukaryota, Viridiplantae, Streptophyta, Magnoliopsida, Malpighiales, Salicaceae. The record is from RefSeq and is a predicted model, not a curated record. The transcript is spliced from 2 exons.